CCUACGGGUGGCAGCAGUGGGGAAUAUUGCACAAUGGGCGAAAGCCUGAUGCAGCAACGCCGCGUGAGCGAUGAAGGCCUUCGGGUCGUAAAGCUCCGUCCUCAAGGAAGAUAAUGACGGUACUUGAGGAGGAAGCCCCGGCUAACUACGUGCCAGCAGCCGCGGUAAUAGGUAGGGGGCUAGCGUUAUCCGGAAUUACGGGGCGUAAAGGGUGCGUAGGUGGUUUUUUAAGUCAGAGGGGAAAGGCUACGGCUCAACCGUAGUAAGCCUUUGAUACUGGGAGACUUGAGUGCAGGAGAGGAAGGUGGAAUUCGUGGUGUAGCGGUGAAAUGCGUAGAUAUUAGGAAGAACACCAGUUGCGAAGGCGGCUCUCUAGACUGUAACUGACACUGAGGCACGAAAGCGUGGGGAGCAAACAGGAUUAGAUACCCGAGUAGUC
Molecule: ribosomal RNA, 439 nt
Filed under: uncultured bacterium
Lineage: Bacteria
Description: partial 16S ribosomal RNA
Rfam family: Bacterial small subunit ribosomal RNA
Source: RNAcentral